Molecule: unclassified non-coding RNA, 893 nt
Filed under: Hevea brasiliensis (rubber tree)
Lineage: Eukaryota; Viridiplantae; Streptophyta; Magnoliopsida; Malpighiales; Euphorbiaceae
Source: RNAcentral
UGGAUCAUAUUUGUGACAAAGAACUAUGGGUUAUCAUCAUAAAUGAUGUCGGAAAUGAGGAAGUCAUUGAUGAUGUUGAAUUUAAUAAAGAAGGUGCAAAAGAGAGAGUAAUUUGCAGAUUGUGGUGUUUGUUCUGUGAUUAGUAACGAAAAUCAAAAUCAAAAUUAUGAUGGAGAAAACAAUGAUAAGCUUGACAAUGGGUUGGAGUUGGAAAUAAGUGCUUUUGCAGCCUUGGGUAUGGAUGUCAAAACUGCAGAUGCAAAUAAAAAAAUUGAAAACAUCGAUGACAAUUUAGAAGGCCAGGAUUUCAACAAUAAUGCUGAGAAGGAAUCUAACAACAUUAUUUUCUCAUGCCAUGAGAUUACAUUCUCGAAGAUUCAGGUUGAAUCUGACAUUUUCUCCAUCUGGGAGGUGAAUUUAAUUCAAGAGAAUAGAAUUAAGAAUUCUUUCUUUUCUGCAUAGGAAGGGAUUUAUGUAGAAGCAGCUCUCGUUAAUGGUAAAGAAGAUGAUGACCAUGCAGGUGAUUAACUCACUCUCUUUGAACAAGAAGUUUUGGCUGAUGAGCAAGAACCAAGGCUAAAGCUAUUUUUGUGGCAGAUUAAAUGCAAGAUGAAACAAAGAUUAAACCAAGAUUCAAUUGGGCAUUUGGGAAUGAUCAAAUGCAAGGUGAAGUGGAAUUCUGCAGCACAAGUUUCUAUUUUCCUGUGUAUUUUUAGCUCUUCAAAAUUGCAAGGAUUCAGCUUCAAGCCUUCAAUUAAAUACUUUUCACUGCAAAUAUUACUUAGAUAUAUGCUGAUAGUUGUAGCAGAGAUUUUGUUUUUUAAGUAGUGUUUUUCAGUUUUCUUCCUUGAGUGCAAGGAAGCUUGAGGGGGAGCUAUUAAUAUGUGUCUAAU